GGUCAAGUGAAGAAGCGCAUACGGUGGAUGCCUUGGCAGUCAGAGGCGAUGAAAGACGUGGUAGCCUGCGAAAAGCUUCGGGGAGUCGGCAAACAGACUUUGAUCCGGAGAUCUCUGAAUGGGGAACCCACCUAGGAUAACCUAGGUAUCUUGUACUGAAUCCAUAGGUGCAAGAGGCGAACCAGGGAACUGAAACAUCUAAGUACCCUGAGGAAAAGAAAUCAACCGAGAUUCCCUUAGUAGUGGCGAGCGAACGGGGAUUAGCCCUUAAGCUUCAUUGAUUUUAGCGGAACGCUCUGGAAAGUGCGGCCAUAGUGGGUGAUAGCCCCGUACGCGAAAGGAUCUUUGAAGUGAAAUCGAGUAGGACGGAGCACGAGAAACUUUGUCUGAACAUGGGGGGGACCAUCCUCCAAGGCUAAAUACUACUGACUGACCGAUAGUGAACCAGUACCGUGAGGGAAAGGCGAAAAGAACCCCGGAGAGGGGAGUGAAAUAGAACCUGAAACCGUAUGCGUACAAGCAGUGGGAGCCUACUUGUUAGGUGACUGCGUACCUUUUGUAUAAUGGGUCAGCGACUUAUAUUCAGUGGCAAGCUUAACCGUAUAGGGUAGGCGUAGCGAAAGCGAGUCUUAAUAGGGCGUUUAGUCGCUGGGUAUAGACCCGAAACCGGGCGAUCUAUCCAUGAGCAGGUUGAAGGUUAGGUAACACUGACUGGAGGACCGAACCCACUCCCGUUGAAAAGGUAGGGGAUGACUUGUGGAUCGGAGUGAAAGGCUAAUCAAGCUCGGAGAUAGCUGGUUCUCCUCGAAAGCUAUUUAGGUAGCGCCUCAUGUAUCACUCUGGGGGGUAGAGCACUGUUUCGGCUAGGGGGUCAUCCCGACUUACCAAACCGAUGCAAACUCCGAAUACCCAGAAGUGCCGAGCAUGGGAGACACACGGCGGGUGCUAACGUCCGUCGUGAAAAGGGAAACAACCCAGACCGCCAGCUAAGGUCCCAAAGUUGUGGUUAAGUGGUAAACGAUGUGGGAAGGCUUAGACAGCUAGGAGGUUGGCUUAGAAGCAGCCAUCCUUUAAAGAAAGCGUAAUAGCUCACUAGUCGAGUCGGCCUGCGCGGAAGAUGUAACGGGGCUCAAACCACACACCGAAGCUGCGGGUGUCACGUAAGUGACGCGGUAGAGGAGCGUUCUGUAAGCCUGUGAAGGUGAGUUGAGAAGCUUGCUGGAGGUAUCAGAAGUGCGAAUGCUGACAUGAGUAACGACAAUGGGUGUGAAAAACACCCACGCCGAAAGACCAAGGGUUCCUGCGCAACGUUAAUCGACGCAGGGUUAGUCGGUUCCUAAGGCGAGGCUGAAAAGCGUAGUCGAUGGGAAACAGGUUAAUAUUCCUGUACUUCUGGUUACUGCGAUGGAGGGACGGAGAAGGCUAGGCCAGCUUGGCGUUGGUUGUCCAAGUUUAAGGUGGUAGGCUGAAAUCUUAGGUAAAUCCGGGGUUUCAAGGCCGAGAGCUGAUGACGAGUCGUCUUUUAGAUGACGAAGUGGUUGAUGCCAUGCUUCCAAGAAAAGCUUCUAAGCUUCAGGUAACCAGGAACCGUACCCCAAACCGACACAGGUGGUCGGGUAGAGAAUACCAAGGCGCUUGAGAGAACUCGGGUGAAGGAACUAGGCAAAAUGGCACCGUAACUUCGGGAGAAGGUGCGCCGGCUAGGGUGAAGGAUUUACUCCGUAAGCUCUGGCUGGUCGAAGAUACCAGGCCGCUGCGACUGUUUAUUAAAAACACAGCACUCUGCAAACACGAAAGUGGACGUAUAGGGUGUGACGCCUGCCCGGUGCCGGAAGGUUAAUUGAUGGGGUUAGCGCAAGCGAAGCUCUUGAUCGAAGCCCGGUAAACGGCGGCCGUAACUAUAACGGUCCUAAGGUAGCGAAAUUCCUUGUCGGGUAAGUUCCGACCUGCACGAAUGGCGUAACGAUGGCGGCGCUGUCUCCACCCGAGACUCAGUGAAAUUGAAAUCGCUGUGAAGAUGCAGUGUAUCCGCGGCUAGACGGAAAGACCCCGUGAACCUUUACUGUAGCUUUGCACUGGACUUUGAGCCUGCUUGUGUAGGAUAGGUGGGAGGCUUUGAAGCGUGGACGCCAGUUCGCGUGGAGCCAUCCUUGAAAUACCACCCUGGCAUGCUUGAGGUUCUAACUCUGGUCCGUGAUCCGGAUCGAGGACAGUGUAUGGUGGGCAGUUUGACUGGGGCGGUCUCCUCCUAAAGAGUAACGGAGGAGUACGAAGGUGCGCUCAGACCGGUCGGAAAUCGGUCGUAGAGUAUAAAGGCAAAAGCGCGCUUGACUGCGAGACAGACACGUCGAGCAGGUACGAAAGUAGGUCUUAGUGAUCCGGUGGUUCUGUAUGGAAGGGCCAUCGCUCAACGGAUAAAAGGUACUCCGGGGAUAACAGGCUGAUACCGCCCAAGAGUUCAUAUCGACGGCGGUGUUUGGCACCUCGAUGUCGGCUCAUCACAUCCUGGGGCUGAAGCCGGUCCCAAGGGUAUGGCUGUUCGCCAUUUAAAGUGGUACGCGAGCUGGGUUUAGAACGUCGUGAGACAGUUCGGUCCCUAUCUGCCGUGGACGUUUGAGAUUUGAGGGGCUGCUCCUAGUACGAGAGGACCGGAGUGGACGAACCUCUGGUGUUCCGGUUGUCACGCCAGUGGCAUUGCCGGGUAGCUAUGUUCGGAAAAGAUAACCGCUGAAAGCAUCUAAGCGGGAAACUUGCCUCAAGAUGAGAUCUCACUGGGAACUUGAUUCCCCUGAAGGGCCGUCGAAGACUACGACGUUGAUAGGCUGGGUGUGUAAGCGUUGUGAGGCGUUGAGCUAACCAGUACUAAUUGCCCGUGAGGCUUGACCAU
RNAcentral lists this ribosomal RNA (2887 nucleotides) under Pseudomonas aeruginosa. Its description in RNAcentral is "23S ribosomal RNA". It matches the Rfam family "Bacterial large subunit ribosomal RNA". Lineage: Bacteria; Pseudomonadati; Pseudomonadota; Gammaproteobacteria; Pseudomonadales; Pseudomonadaceae. The record is from RNAcentral.